This 458-nucleotide ribosomal RNA is filed under the name uncultured bacterium. RNAcentral's name for it is "partial 16S ribosomal RNA". It matches the Rfam family "Bacterial small subunit ribosomal RNA", at positions 338 to 795 of the family's 1533-position model. The record is from RNAcentral.
CCUACGGGCGGCAGCAGUGAGGAAUAUUGGUCAAUGGGCGAGAGCCUGAACCAGCCAAGUCGCGUGAGGGAGUACUGCCCUAUGGGUUGUAAACCUCUUUUGUCGGGGAGCAAAAGCCGGACGUGUCCGGCUGUGAGAGUACCCAAAGAAAAAGCAUCGGCUAACUCCGUGCCAGCAGCCGCGGUAAUACGGAGGAUGCGAGCGUUAUCCGGAUUUAUUGGGUUUAAAGGGUGCGCAGGCGGAUUUUUAAGUCAGCGGUAAAAUCGUGGGGCUCAACCCCAUCCAGCCGUUGAAACUGGGGAUCUAGAGUGUGCGAGAGGUAUGCGGAAUGCGUGGUGUAGCGGUGAAAUGCAUAGAUAUCACGCAGAACCCCGAUUGCGAAGGCAGCAUACCGGUGCACAACUGACGCUCAGGCACGAAAGCGUGGGUAUCGAACAGGAUUAGAUACCCGAGUAGUC